RNAcentral lists this ribosomal RNA (542 nucleotides) under uncultured archaeon. RNAcentral's name for it is "bacterial SSU rRNA". It matches the Rfam family "Archaeal small subunit ribosomal RNA", at positions 457 to 997 of the family's 1478-position model. The record is from RNAcentral.
GUCAGCCGCCGCGGUAACACCGGCGGCCCGAGUGGUGAUCGUGAUUAUUGGGUCUAAAGGGUCCGUAGCCGGUUUGGUCAGUCCUCCGGGAAAUCUGAUAGCUCAACUAUUAGGCUUUCGGGGGAUACUGCCAGACUUGGAACCGGGAGAGGUAAGAGGUACUACAGGGGUAGGAGUGAAAUCUUGUAAUCCCUGUGGGACCACCUGUGGCGAAGGCGUCUUACCAGAACGGGUUCGACGGUGAGGGACGAAAGCUGGGGGCACGAACCGGAUUAGAUACCCGGGUAGUCCCAGCCGUAAACGAUGCUCGCUAGGUGUCAGGCAUGGCGCGACCGUGUCUGGUGCCGCAGGGAAGCCGUGAAGCGAGCCACCUGGGAAGUACGGCCGCAAGGCUGAAACUUAAAGGAAUUGGCGGGGGAGCACAACAACGGGUGGAGCCCUGCGGUUUAAUUGGACUCAACGCCGGACAACUCACCGGGGGCGACAGCAAUAUGUAGGCCAAGCUGAAGACUUUGCCUGAAUCGCUGAGAAGAGGUGCAUGG